CAGCCAGGAGCGUGCCCUGGGCACAGGGAUGGCCCUCUGGGCACAGGAGGGACACGGCAGCCGCAGGGCUGUUUGCAAACACAUUUCCAAAUACAGCAUCACCUGUGGGGCCUGGCAGGGCUGGAGGGCUUGGCUGUGACCGCCCUGCAGCCAGGCAGAGCCCAGCUCCUCGAGAAGUUGUGAGGCAGAGGGAGAACAGAUCCAAAGAGCAUCUGAGCCACGGGCAGGAUGAACAGCUGAGCUUGGAAAACAGGGGAGAAAAGAGAGCUGAGCUCCAGGGAUGGAAGCAGCUGGUGAAUAUUGACAGCACCAACCAGCAGUGGUGAAGCCGCAGUCCAAAUCCACUUGUGGAGUUGGUUCUUGUUCAUUUAUUUUCUUCUUUUUUAUUUUUUGAUCACAGUUAAAUCCCACAGAGGCAGUCUGGGAGAGCUGGGGGUGUUCAGCCUGUGGCACUGUGUUGAGUGCUGGAAUGUCACUGCAGGCCCCCAGCAGGGUAAUAAUUAGCAUUGACUCCAUGAUUCACAGAAGGCUGAUCAAUCUCUUUAUUAUUCUACACUUAUUAAGAACCCACUGCUUUUAUAACAGUUAUGGUACAGGUGGACCCAAUUGGUCCUCCAGCCCAAACACCAUCACCAUUGGCUAAUUAAGAAACCACCCUGGGGUAAACAAAUCUCCACAACACAUUCCACGUGCUCACAACAGCAGGUGCAGCAAGCUAAAUAAGGAUUGUUUCUCACUCUUUUCUCUGGUCUCCUCACAGCCUUCCCCAGCAGGUGACACUGGUGUGCAGAGUGCCAGGAGGGGGAAAAGGAACCUCCGUGUCAGAGCUGCUCUCCAGGUUCUUGUAGGGGCUUGUAGUUCUUGUAGAGCCCCUUCAGCUCUGCAGAGCAAGGAGAGACCCUCCAAGGGCACCUGUGCUGUGUUCCCAUGUGGGUAAUGGAAGAAUUGGCAAAUCGUGCCCAGGAAAAUGUAACCAGGGAUCUUGGGAGCAGAGAGGAGCAGGUAAGAGGUGCUUGAAGUCUGAUUUUAAAGGUGGUCUUGGUCCCACACGAAGGGAGCCACAAGAAAUGGAACAAUAUCAGCCUCAGGUCCUGGUCUGUCAGGAGUUCAGGGGCUGGUGUCACUCCCAUGGGCACCCCCAUGCUGGUUUGGGGGACUGGGGUGACCUGGGGUGGGGGGCAGCAGCUGUGACCCCCCAUCCUUGGGGCUGGGCUCCUCAGAGCCGGCCCACGGGCACCCAGAGCUGCAGGCUGCCUGAUCCCAGUGGUUUUGCUCCCCUUUUGGCUCCCCAGAGCAGGAUGCUGCUGGCAGUGACCCGGCUGUGCUGCGGGCCCCGAGUGCCUCCUGCCAGCAGCACCUCCCCAAGUGACCCAGGGCGGGGCUGAGGCACC
Molecule: long non-coding RNA, 1391 nt
Organism: Passer domesticus (house sparrow)
Lineage: Eukaryota; Metazoa; Chordata; Aves; Passeriformes; Passeridae
Exons: 3
Source: RefSeq, a predicted model, not a curated record